UGGGGAAUCUUGCACAAUGGGGGAAACCCUGAUGCAGCGACGCCGCGUGAACGAUGAAGCCCUUCGGGGUGUAAAGUUCUUUCGACAGGAACGAUAAUGACGGUACCUGGAGAAGAAGCUGCGGCUAACUACGUGCCAGCAGCCGCGGUAAUACGUAGGCAGCGAGCGUUGUUCGGGGUUACUGGGCGUAAAGAGUGCGUAGGCGGCGAGCCAAGUUUGGUGUGAAAUCUCCCGGCUUAACCGGGAGGGUGCGCCGAAAACUGGUUGGCUGGAGUAUGGGAGAGGAAAGCGGAAUUCCUGGUGUAGCGGUGAAAUGCGUAGAUAUCAGGAGGAACACCUGCGGUGUAGACAGCUUUCUGGACCAAAACUGACGCUGAGGCACGAAAGCGUGGGUAGCAAACA
RNAcentral lists this ribosomal RNA (402 nucleotides) under uncultured bacterium. RNAcentral describes it as "bacterial SSU rRNA". It matches the Rfam family "Bacterial small subunit ribosomal RNA", at positions 355 to 774 of the family's 1533-position model. The record is from RNAcentral.